Molecule: unclassified non-coding RNA, 384 nt
Filed under: Zea mays
Lineage: Eukaryota; Viridiplantae; Streptophyta; Magnoliopsida; Poales; Poaceae
Description: misc RNA Zm00001eb163610
Source: RNAcentral
GACAGGUUCAGCACACGAAGCGAUGGAGCUUUGGGUAAGGAAUCAGGAAUAACUCCGCUAAGAUUAUUUCCUGCAAGAUUAACAUACCUAAGAGAAGGUGAUGCUACACCCAGUGACGGAGGGAUGCUACCUGAAAGGAUGUUGCCGGCAAGCAUCAGAGUCUGGAGGCCUGGAAGCGUGGCCACCUCCUCAGGUAUGGUUCCGGAAAUAUGGUUGCCUGAAAGAUCCAACCUCACCAGCGAAGUGAGGUUCGCCAUGCAAUUGUGUAGCAGUGUUCCGUGGAGCCGCACAGACCUUAGUUCUAGGGACAGCACUCGGAGUGGGAGGCUGGAGCUGCAGCUGACCCCUCGCCAGCCGCAGAAGCUGAGCGAGUCGGCGCUCCAU